Long non-coding RNA from Triticum dicoccoides, 639 nucleotides. RefSeq lists it as uncharacterized. The record is from RefSeq and is a predicted model, not a curated record. Lineage: Eukaryota; Viridiplantae; Streptophyta; Magnoliopsida; Poales; Poaceae. The transcript has 2 exons.
UUUUGGAGCGUUAUAUAUAGGUGCUGAAAGCAUUGCGGCAUGGCAACUCACGGAGGAGCGCGUCGCCAAUCCGGGAAGAUGCUGCCCGACUGUCGCCGCCUGCUUGCUCGGCUUCUCGCCCUCCUCGCGCUGCUGCUGCUGAUCGUCGGUGUACAUGGCCGUAUAGGAUUGAACUGCGGCAGUCAGAACCCAAACGGCUGCACAGGUCUGCCCUCUCCAGACUGUCCAGACUGUGGAUAGCAGCAGGUCUCCCUCCGAAGCAUAUGCCGACGCCGAUGACAUCUCAGGAUGUUCUGUAUCGUUCUACAAGAGUUGAUUUUGUUUCUGUAUGGUAGUAAGAGAGAUAUGAAGGUCACAAUCAUUUGCUUGCUUACGGAAUGUUAGGGAAACAAGGAUAGCUGAAUAUAAGACACAAUUCAUCAAUGAGCUUGCGUUGUGAAUACUACUACCCGGUCCCAUGAUGUAAGACGUUUUUGCAGACUAUAACAUGGCUUGCAAAAACAUCUUACAUUAUAAGACGGAGGGAAUAAAAGGCAUUUACAAUGACUAGUUGCCUUGCAAAAACAUCUUACAUUAUAAGACGGAGAGAGUAAAAGGCAUUUACAGUGACUAGUUUAGUGCCCGUGCUUUGCCACAGAA